Long non-coding RNA from Homo sapiens (human), 944 nucleotides. RefSeq lists it as uncharacterized. NCBI's taxonomy places the organism in Eukaryota, Metazoa, Chordata, Mammalia, Primates, Hominidae. The transcript has 2 exons. The record is from RefSeq and is a predicted model, not a curated record.
AGGACGCCUCAGAGCCCCCAAGUUUGCGGUGGGACCAAUCUGGGAAGUGUGACCUUCCAGGGGAAGGGGGAAGGAGGGCCGAGAGCCAGCAAUCUCCACUAGAAAGCUAAAUACAUAGUCGCCCAAAAGAGAAAGCCAAGGAGCCUCUCCAGGGCCCCGGGCUCUGCGCGCUAGCCAGUUCUCAAGUCCAAUGCCUGGAGGAAACCCACUCUCUACCCCGCGCAUCGGGCGCAGCACAGUCAGUCACUCGUGGCCCGCAGCGGCAGCCAAGGGGUUAACCGGGGAAAGCCCAAGACGCCACAGAAGAGGGAAGGAAGAGAAGGAGAGAGAGGGAGAGAGAGCAAAGGAAGAGCCACAGAGUCAUCUUCCCAGGGUGAAGAAACAAACACCACCACCAAAGGGGGAGGGGGAACCAGAACGCAAAGGAAAGUUCUUCGGAUUCCCCCCCCUCCCCACCAACAAAGCCCUGCUUGGACAGAGAGGUCUCCCCAACAUCACGAGGCAGCAAACUGAAAGCAAGAACGUGGCGAAGUGCAAACAAAUCCAGUCCACAAAAGGCAGAAAACAACAUUUGCCAAGCCCAGGAAACAGAUAAAAAACCCCACCAGCCCGAGGGGCUUUUCCUACCUCGGAAUCGGAGGAGCUGUUUUGAUUCGUUUCUGAUUCAUUGACUAGAGACGAUUUGACAUCAGCUAAAUCCCUCUCUGCCGAGGAGUUUUCGGAGCUCUUCUCCUCCUGUUCGCCCUCGUCUUUGAAGGAAAUCAGUUCGUCGUUGGCGCCUAGGUCAUCCCCUCCACCGCCGUUCAGCUGCGGCAUUUUUUUUUCACCCACCAGCAGCAAUUUUGGAAGAAAAAUGAAGGAGGAAGAAAAGCCAAAAAAAAUCACCCCCAAAAAGUUUUGCCCCCCCAAAAAAUAUUGCAAGAAAAAGACGAGUCCAAGGUGAA